CUGCUGCGGCGGAUGGCGGCGGAGCGGUGUUUACAUCGCCGCGGCGCCGCUCGCCCCGGCGGCGAGGGGUGCGGGGAGCCGGGGUGACAGGGGCCCCGCCCGCCCUGCCGCGCGGGGUGUGUUUGCCGCCUGUACAAACUUCCCCAGCAGCUGCCCAAAGUUGUUGUAAUUGUGUCACACAGCGAACCCCACGCCGCCACCGUGACCCCCCCCCUCCCCGCCCGCCCGCCCGGGCCCACGCAGCCAAUCGCCGCCUCCGCAGCGCCGCACGUGACCUUUGUUGACUUACGUCAGUCAUAGCGCUCUUCCACCGCGGCGCUUCGGCUUGGUUGGCCUACGGCGCCCGCCUCCCUCGCAGGCCUCAUCGCAUUAGUCGGCGUCCGAGGGGAGGGGGCGGGUUUCCUGGGACUCGCGGCUUGUGACAGGCCAGAGAGCCGUCAGUCAGAGCAGCUUUUCGAUUUCCCAGCGCCAGCAGUUUAAUUGUAUCCUCAGUUGACAUUCCUGGUAAGCAAGGCCAAAAGUAAACUGGGCUAUCCAGUACUACCAAUCCAGAUAGAUUAAACAAAAGAAAGAGAACCCUGGGAUAAAUCUGAGCCAGCUGAGAGGACAGAGGGAUGCCUGAACCUGAAGCAGCACUUCCCGGCUGGCGAGGAUGAAGCGCAGGGUCACCCACCCCCACCUCGAAAGUAUGCAGAGAUGACAGAGUGGUCAAGGCGGGCACUUGCUGGAAACAAGCACGGUGAAUUUAAGGCGGAGAAAGGGAAAUGUACAGUACCGGGCCAGAGGGAUAUGAUCUUCUUGCUAGUGGCACAAAGGCAGCAUCUCAGAUAUGGAUUACCUCAGAAUUAUCCUUCUUGACAAAUAGGUUGUGAAACCAUCUCUUAGUCUCGUGGCAGGUCCCAACCCUGCCUUCGCCCAGGGAACCCUGAGCAGCUGCUGCCUUCCCUUUGCCACUGAGUACAGGUGUCAGCAGGUCUGUCAUACUUAUGGAGUAAACUGAUACCAUCCAUGUCAAAACCUAGUCUUCAGCAGUUGUCUCUUGCUCACCUGUGAUGCCAGACAGCUUCACAAGGUAUUUCCAGGAAUACUGACUAUUCAGCAUCAAUACAGCCACCGGACCACUGGCAGAAAAUUGCCUCCAGUUUUGACCACAGCCAUGGAAAGGACAACCAAACCCCCCGGCACUGGUAGUCUGCAUGGGGUCUUACACUCAGCUCAUGUCACCAGAGAAAAAGCACUAGACAGAGCCAACCAACUUUUUACACCAAAUAUUGUAAAGUAGGUGUUGCACUGGGUUAGCAGCCAGGAGUUUGGUCCUAAGCUCCUAAUGGACAGGAGCAAAAUGGCCCACAAGUGAAAAUCCUCAUCUGCUUCAAACUGUGAUGGCUCCUUUAUUCAUGGACAUCACGAGUAUCCUACACAAAACUCAGCACUGAUCUGGUUCCUGCACACCCCUCAAGGCAAUUCAGCCACGUGAGCAGCGACACUCUCCUCAGCCCACUCACCCAGGAAACCUACCUACGUCCAAAAGUCCUUGCAGGAUCCAUCCUCGGUUAUGCUGUGGCACGGUGCAUUUCACAUGAAGACAGGAGCAGCCUUAAACUUUUUGCAUGCAUUGACAAAUAAAUGGAAAAAGUGGAUACUUUCCCUUGUUCCAGGCACUUGGACUAUAAAUCCAUAGAGAACUUGAGUAAACAUAACUUUCUUAGUAUGUUAAAAAGUUCACACUGUGGAAAGAAGACAUUUCUGAGAAACAGAUUUUAGUCUUUGAAAUAAUUAGACUGAGCUGAACAGAUUUUUGGCAUGAUUCGUAAGCCAGUCAUUGUUCAGCCUUUGUACUUAGAAGAGCAAUUAUGACUCCUUUGGAAACAUCCUUAGUUGAACUCUUAAAAUAAUAAAAACACUCCUCCAUAAGACCACAUCAACAUAUGGUUUUCCUAAUGACAGCACAAACAAAUCACCCACUCAUCAAACACAUUUAGGAAGAAGACAGGAACAAACAGAACAAACAAAUUUUCUAAAGAUUACUUACUGGUCCUGAUCAAUCAGGAAAAAAAAUUAAAUUGAAUUCAGGAACUGCCUAUGGGAUAUAGAAUACACAUGAAAUAAGCAAAAACAUAAAUAUCACCAAAUACUGUAACGCAAAGUUUAUAGAUAAUGUGCUGUGAAGUUGUAUCUCAAAAAUAUUGAGCAGCUGUUGCCCAGCUUUAUGAUCCACCCACUGGUUUACUUUUUAACUUUGGUGAUACAUCAUGGGUAAGCAAGAAAGAGAUAAAGUACAUCGACACUAGUGUUCACUAUCCGAACAUCCUCCCUGGUUUCUCCACCUUGCUGCUAACUCCAGGGUGAGUUCCCAGCUGAACAAAAGCUGGUGGGUGACGGGCGUCCCUGCUGUAGUUCUCUUUAGUAGAUGCUGCUGUGUGGUGACUACGUGGGUGUUAGCUGCUUUGAGAUUCACGGAGCCCUGUCACCCUUCUAUGGCUCCAUCCAGCUUGGCGUAGCUCAUUGGUGCAUUCUGACGAGUUAGUAUCACUUCAGAGAAGUGGAGUCCCAAAGCACGUCUGUCUGGGCCUCCGGAGGUUAAUGCUACACAGAAAAUACUCUGGCAACAUAAGCGUCCAUGCUUUCCAGGAGCGCAGUCUUUGACAGUCCUGAAAGCAUCCACAUCUUUAGAAAUGUGGAAGCUGAGGUAAAUGGACACAGGAAGGUUUCAAACUAUAAGUCACUCCUGAUCUUACCUCGUGUAAUAUACAGCCAUGUGCAUGCGCACACACAUACAGAAAGCCUAUACCUUUUCAUAGCUUCAAUUUUCUCAGCUCUUUUGAGCACCUUUGGGGUACCAGUCAGGUUUUUCCAGAGCAUCGAAGGACUCCCCUUCUCCUUUGGAUCACAAUGUCUCUGUCUCUGCUUACUGCAUCUUUUCGUGCAUAUGCUGGAGACUGUGCCCAAGAGCUGCUGCUCCAUAACCUUUUCCUUUGCCAGGCGACACACAGCUCAGUCCUCCUGCAUGACCUGUGUCUGUGCAGCACACCUAUGGCUUCCCGGGCCAAGCACUGGGAAACAACCCGGCUGCCAGCAGCAGCCACUGCAGCUUCCACACAGCUCUCUGCAACAACUUCAGCCCAGCCCUGGGAUGCAGGAAAAAGGGAGCAAACGAGCUAGGCAGUCAAAAUGGGGUUCGCCAUCUAACAAAUACCUAGAGAGAGCCCUCAGUAUGGGACAGUAUUUAAAGAAUGAACAUAAAACCUCCAGAUUCCUACAAGAAGCAACCCUGCCUGCAUGUAGCUCUGUUGUUUUUCUUGCCCUCUUCUGUGUAUGUGUUCUCUGGCUAUAAGAAUAGACUAGAAAACUCUACCUGCUAGUUUUGAUUCCAGUCGGAAUGUGGACCAAGCACAUAUCCCACACUUCUCCUCCGAGUAACUCUAGAUGAGACUGCAUGAGAACAGUAUUAAACCACCAGUGGCUGAACCGGAGCCCCUGCUACCAUGUUCUCACUGCUGCUGCAGCCUGUAGGACUGGGCAGAUGGUAUCAGUGCCAGGAAAUACAUAGCAACAAAAACUUCUGUCACUAGAGCCAGUGUCAUGCUUGUUGUCAAUGCAACGAGUUAAUGACAGGAUUAGGAACCAAGUUUCCUCCUCUAAUCCCUACCCAUGCCAUUUUCAGGUUUAGUCAGACUCGGGACUGCUGCUGCUACAAAUGUUUAGCUCAGAAUUAUGUCCCAAAUAGCUUCAGCAGACAGCACUGCUUCUGUCCUGCCACGUGCUGAAAGCUCUGCAUAGUAGUGCUUGGUCU
Molecule: long non-coding RNA, 3793 nt
Organism: Falco peregrinus (peregrine falcon)
Lineage: Eukaryota; Metazoa; Chordata; Aves; Falconiformes; Falconidae
Exons: 4
Source: RefSeq, a predicted model, not a curated record